This 2367-nucleotide ribosomal RNA is filed under the name Staphylococcus pseudintermedius. RNAcentral's name for it is "partial 23S ribosomal RNA". It matches the Rfam family "Bacterial large subunit ribosomal RNA", at positions 407 to 2779 of the family's 2925-position model. The record is from RNAcentral. Lineage: Bacteria; Bacillati; Bacillota; Bacilli; Caryophanales; Staphylococcaceae.
CCUGAGUACGACGGAGCACGUGAAAUUCCGUCGGAAUCUGGGAGGACCAUCUCCUAAGGCUAAAUACUCUCUAGUGACCGAUAGUGAACCAGUACCGUGAGGGAAAGGUGAAAAGUACCCCGGAAGGGGAGUGAAAGAGAACUUGAAACCGUGUGCUUACAAGUAGUCAGAGCCCGUUAAUGGGUGAUGGCGUGCCUUUUGUAGAAUGAACCGGCGAGUUACGAUCUGAUGCAAGGUUAAGCAGAAAAUGUGGAGCCGUAGCGAAAGCGAGUCUGAAUAGGGCGAAUGAGUAUUUGGUCGUAGACCCGAAACCAGGUGAUCUACCCUUGGUCAGGUUGAAGUUCAGGUAACACUGAAUGGAGGACCGAACCGACUUACGUUGAAAAGUGAGCGGAUGAACUGAGGGUAGCGGAGAAAUUCCAAUCGAACUUGGAGAUAGCUGGUUCUCUCCGAAAUAGCUUUAGGGCUAGCCUCAAGUGAUGAUUAUUGGAGGUAGAGCACUGUUUGGACGAGGGGCCCCUCUCGGGUUACCGAAUUCAGACAAACUCCGAAUGCCAAAUAAUUUAACUUGGGAGUCAGAAUGUGGGUGAUAAGGUCCAUAUUCGAAAGGGAAACAGCCCAGACCACCAGCUAAGGUCCCAAAAUAUAUGUUAAGUGGAAAAGGAUGUGGCGUUGCCCAGACAACUAGGAUGUUGGCUUAGAAGCAGCCAUCAUUUAAAGAGUGCGUAAUAGCUCACUAGUCGAGUGACACUGCGCCGAAAAUGUACCGGGGCUAAACAUAUUACCGAAGCUGUGGAUUGUCCUUUGGACAAUGGUAGGAGAGCGUUCUAAGGGCGUUGAAGCAUGAUCGCAAGGACAUGUGGAGCGCUUAGAAGUGAGAAUGCCGGUGUGAGUAGCGAAAGACGGGUGAGAAUCCCGUCCACCGAUUGACUAAGGUUUCCAGAGGAAGGCUCGUCCGCUCUGGGUUAGUCGGGUCCUAAGCUGAGGCCGACAGGCGUAGGCGAUGGAUAACAGGUUGAUAUUCCUGUACCACCAUUAUUCGUUUUAAGCGAUGGGGGGACGCAGUAGGAUAGGCGAAGCGUGCUGUUGGAGUGCACGUCCAAGCAGUGAGAUUGAGUGUUAGGCAAAUCCGGCACUCUUAAGAUUGAGCUGUGAUGGGGAGAGGAACUUGUUCCUCGAGUCGUUGAUUUCACACUGCCGAGAAAAGCCUCUAGCUAGAAUAACGGUGCCCGUACCGCAAACCGACACAGGUAGUCAAGAUGAGAAUUCUAAGGUGAGCGAGCGAACUCUCGUUAAGGAACUCGGCAAAAUGACCCCGUAACUUCGGGAGAAGGGGUGCUCUUUGAGGUUCACGCUUCGAAGAGCCGCAGUGAAUAGGCCCAAGCGACUGUUUAUCAAAAACACAGGUCUCUGCUAAACCGUAAGGUGACGUAUAGGGGCUGACGCCUGCCCGGUGCUGGAAGGUUAAGAGGAGUGGUUAGCGCAAGCGAAGCUACGAAUCGAAGCCCCAGUAAACGGCGGCCGUAACUAUAACGGUCCUAAGGUAGCGAAAUUCCUUGUCGGGUAAGUUCCGACCCGCACGAAAGGCGUAACGAUUUGGGCACUGUCUCAACGAGAGACUCGGUGAAAUCAUAGUACCGGUGAAGAUGCCGGUUACCCGCGACAGGACGGAAAGACCCCGUGGAGCUUUACUGUAGCCUGAUAUUGAAAUUCGGUACAGUUUGUACAGGAUAGGUAGGAGCCUUAGAAGCGUGAGCGCUAGCUUACGUGGAGGCAUUGGUGGGAUACUACCCUAAUUGUAUUGGAUUUCUAACCCGCAGCACUUAUCGUGCUGGGAGACAGUGUCAGGCGGGCAGUUUGACUGGGGCGGUCGCCUCCUAAAGAGUAACGGAGGCGCUCAAAGGUUCCCUCAGAAUGGUUGGAAAUCAUUCAUAGAGUGUAAAGGCAUAAGGGAGCUUGACUGCGAGACCUACAAGUCGAGCAGGGUCGAAAGACGGACUUAGUGAUCCGGUGGUUCCGCAUGGAAGGGCCAUCGCUCAACGGAUAAAAGCUACCCCGGGGAUAACAGGCUUAUCUCCCCCAAGAGUUCACAUCGACGGGGAGGUUUGGCACCUCGAUGUCGGCUCAUCGCAUCCUGGGGCUGUAGUCGGUCCCAAGGGUUGGGCUGUUCGCCCAUUAAAGCGGUACGCGAGCUGGGUUCAGAACGUCGUGAGACAGUUCGGUCCCUAUCCGUCGUGGGCGUAGGAAAUUUGAGAGGAGCUGUCCUUAGUACGAGAGGACCGGGAUGGACAUACCUCUGGUGUACCAGUUGUCGUGCCAACGGCAUAGCUGGGUAGCUAUGUAUGGACGGGAUAAGUGCUGAAAGCA